GGAGAUUCUCACGAAUGAGACAAGCUUCUUUACACAUUACCAUUUAAAUCAAGCUACCUUGAAUGGAGCUUUGGAUCUCCAGAUCUGUUUCCAUGGCAAAGGACUUGGUAAGUUCUCCGGUUUUGUUAAAAUUUUGUAGCAUGAUCUCACUGUGAGCAGACCCUUUUUUCUAGGGAUCCAUGUUAUGUUGCCUUCUGUAUUAGUGUGCUGCUGAUGUGUUCAAAAGACUGAAAAAAUCAACAGCCCAGUUUCAACUGUCAUAAGCUGGCUCUCUCAUCUUGCUCUUGUCCAAGCUAGUUACGCAAUUGCACGUUGCUUACUUGGUUUGGUGUUUAAAAGGUUUGACUACUACUCUCUUAUCCCAUACACUAGCAAAUCUUCAGGUUAAGGUGGAUUGGAAUUUGCUUGGGGCAUAGUGGCUGGGAGGCCUUAACCUUAUAGCUAUUAGCCGUGAAUAUAUCCUGUUCGAUUGUACUUGGACCUUAAACGUUUUAAUAGAUUUAUUCAGCAUGUUUGUCUGAUUUACCUCUUGACAGAUUAAGGAGCACUGCCAUCAGAAUAACACUUUGAAUUGAAAGGAAUCAACUUUUUAGUUGAGUGUGGCUUGGGUUACGUACUUAUGUUGGAUGGUAGCAUAAAAUGGGUGAAGAGAAAUAGAGAUAAAGUGUAGCAAGAAGAGUACCCUUCUGAAUCUUAUGUGGAUUUCUUAUGAUGUUUGUGAACAGUAAUGCUGAAUCAUAAAAUAUGCUUUAUCAGUGUCUUGGUUAGAGGUAGCUAAGAGAUUGCGAAGGGUGAGGGAGGAGGUAAGAAUGAUAUUGAAAUGGUCUCCUAGAGUGUAUCCCAAAACUGCUGUCUCUUGCUUUUCUGUAUCUGGGUUUUGUAUGAAACUCAUGAAAUUUAUUAGCAUAGGUGAUGGUUUACCUUGAUUAUCUGCUUUUUUCUCUUAAUGUGGUUCCUUUUUUUAUUUUGGAAACUUUUCAGGUAUGGCUUGGUCUUGGAAAAACAGUUCUCACAAAUAUAUCCAAAAUCCUAAGCUUGGCCAUAUCCAGGUUUUAGAGUACACUGGUCUUAUGUAACCCAAAGACAUGUUUCCCCUUUAAGUUAAAAACUUAUCUAAACGCAGUAAACAACUGUUUUCCAAGACUUCCCAAAACUCAACUUAUGCCAAAAAAACAUUCCAGGAACUCAACAAAAAACUAACUCAGAAUGUUUUAACAUUUGAAUGGAGAAAGCACAAUUCGGAGCCCUACAGCAAUC
RNAcentral lists this long non-coding RNA (1257 nucleotides) under Solanum tuberosum (potato). Its description in RNAcentral is "long non-coding RNA (STUB_LNC006761)". The record is from RNAcentral. Lineage: Eukaryota; Viridiplantae; Streptophyta; Magnoliopsida; Solanales; Solanaceae.